AUAGCUGCCAAUGGCUCUAAUGAAGAUAGAGGAGAGGUUGCAGAUGAAGAUAAGAGAAUUAUAACUGAUGAUGAGAUAAUAAGCUUAUCCAUUGAAUUCUUUGACCAGAACAGGUAAAAUCUUUAGGCAAUCUAUUUUAUGCUAAUGUUUUAUUAGAUUGUUUCACUAAUAAAUUUUCUCUUUCUUAGAUUGGAUCGGAAAGUAAACAAAGACAAAGAGAAAUCUAAGGAGGAGGUGAAUGAUAAAAGAUACUUACGAUGCCCAGCAGCAAUGACUGUGAUGCACUUAAGAAAGUUUCUCAGAAGUAAAAUGGACAUACCUAAUACUUUCCAGAUUGAUGUCAUGUAUGAGGAGGAACCUUUAAAGGAUUAUUAUACACUAAUGGAUAUUGCCUACAUUUAUACCUGGAGAAGGAAUGGUCCACUUCCAUUGAAAUACAGAGUUCGACCUACUUGUAAAAGAAUGAAGAUCAGUCACCAGAGAGAUGGACUGACAAAUGCUGGAGAACUGGAAAGUGACUCUGGGAGUGACAAGGCCAACAGCCCAGCAGGAGGUAUUCCCUCCACCUCUUCUUGUUUGCCUAGCCCCAGUACUCCAGUGCAGUCUCCUCAUCCACAGUUUCCUCACAUUUCCAGUACUAUGAAUGGAACCAGCAACAGCCCCAGCGGUAACCACCAAUCUUCUUUUGCCAAU
RNAcentral lists this small RNA (693 nucleotides) under Pan troglodytes (chimpanzee). RNAcentral describes it as "retained intron". Lineage: Eukaryota; Metazoa; Chordata; Mammalia; Primates; Hominidae. The record is from RNAcentral.